RNAcentral lists this ribosomal RNA (253 nucleotides) under uncultured bacterium. RNAcentral describes it as "partial 16S ribosomal RNA". It matches the Rfam family "Bacterial small subunit ribosomal RNA", at positions 524 to 776 of the family's 1533-position model. The record is from RNAcentral.
UACAGAGGGUGCAAGCGUUGUUCGGAAUCAUUGGGCGUAAAGCGCACGUAGGCGGCCGACCAAGUCAGGUGUGAAAGCCUGGGGCUCAACCCCAGAAGUGCACUUGAAACUGGUUGGCUUGAAUGUCGGAGAGGGUAGUGGAAUUCCGAGUGUAGAGGUGAAAUUCGUAGAUAUUCGGAGGAACACCAGUGGCGAAGGCGACUACCUGGAUGAACAUUGACGCUGAGGUGCGAAAGCGUGGGGAGCAAACAGG